CCUACGGGAGGCUGCAGUAGGGAAUCUUCCACAAUGGGCGCAAGCCUGAUGGAGCAACGCCGCGUGUGUGAUGAAGGCUUUCGGGUCGUAAAGCACUGUUGUAUGGGAAGAAAUGCUAAAAUAGGGAAUGAUUUUAGUUUGACGGUACCAUACCAGAAAGGGACGGCUAAAUACGUGCCAGCAGCCGCGGUAAUACGUAUGUCCCGAGCGUUAUCCGGAUUUAUUGGGCGUAAAGCGAGCGCAGACGGUUGAUUAAGUCUGAUGUGAAAGCCCGGAGCUCAACUCCGGAAUGGCAUUGGAAACUGGUUAACUUGAGUGUUGUAGAGGUAAGUGGAACUCCAUGUGUAGCGGUGGAAUGCGUAGAUAUAUGGAAGAACACCAGUGGCGAAAGGCGGCUUACUGGACAACAACUGACGUUGAGGCUCGAAAGUGUGGGUAGCAAACAGGAUUAGAUACCCUGGUAGUC
This 466-nucleotide ribosomal RNA is filed under the name Leuconostoc citreum. RNAcentral's name for it is "bacterial SSU rRNA". It matches the Rfam family "Bacterial small subunit ribosomal RNA", at positions 338 to 795 of the family's 1533-position model. Lineage: Bacteria; Bacillati; Bacillota; Bacilli; Lactobacillales; Lactobacillaceae. The record is from RNAcentral.